UUUGUAUGGGAUUUGACUCCAACUCAUGUCUCAUUAGCUCAAAGUGUUCUCAAUUGAUUUCAAUCCUAUUUCAAUGGUACUUUGCAUCUACAAAAAUAUUCUUAAGAAAAUUUGAAAGAUAUUAGUAUAUUUUUAUGCUUUAAUAUUUAGUCAUCGUCAAAAUUAUUUUUGAGAUCAAUAGUAAAAGAUGGAAUAGAAAGAGCAACAUGUAAUGGUUGUAAGUAUGAGUAUAAAGUUGGUCCAAAACCUGGUAGUUCAAACUAUGAAACUUCACAUUUGC
This 280-nucleotide long non-coding RNA is filed under the name Elaeis guineensis (African oil palm). RNAcentral describes it as "long non-coding RNA (EGUI_LNC073154)". The record is from RNAcentral. Lineage: Eukaryota; Viridiplantae; Streptophyta; Magnoliopsida; Arecales; Arecaceae.